This is a long non-coding RNA of Myotis myotis, 1164 nucleotides long. RefSeq lists it as uncharacterized. The record is from RefSeq and is a predicted model, not a curated record. Lineage: Eukaryota; Metazoa; Chordata; Mammalia; Chiroptera; Vespertilionidae. The transcript has 2 exons.
ACAAAACAAAAAAUCAAACCUUCAAAUUCAAUAAACAAAACUGUAAAAUCAGAAAACUGCAAAUGAACAUUAAUUUAAUGUGACAGAUGACAUUAAUUUACUGAAGUGAAAUUACCAGAGUUGGAGAGAGACAUAGCUCUAAUCUGCUCCUAUAUUUAAUAUGACUUUGGGGUUUUUUUAUUUAAAUAAUAUUGAUGCAGAAAAAUGGCCUGGUCUCAUUAGUAUAUUAUACAAAACAGUAUGAAAAGUUAAGGUUUUGAUUGUUCAGGAUAAUCACACAUUGUGCCAUCUAACAAUCCUCAAAUGACUAUUUAAUGAGGCGUUUCUUGAUAACUCUGUAAGGCUGUCUUGUUGACCACAUUCAUUCACAGGUGUUUGUUUUUUUAUUCAACAAAUCUUUAUUGAAAGACUGUAGGUUCCAGAAACUGCCAGCACUGAGGACACAGUAGUGAACAAAAGUGGAUAUGAUCUUGAGGGGAACAGGCAGAAUCAGGUGAUGAAAUGUUCUGGAAUUAGAUCGUGGGCAUGGUUACAUAACUCAGUGACUAUACUAAAAACCAUUGAAAUGAACAUUUUAAAGGGUGAAUUUUAUGGUAUGUGAAUUAUAUCUCAAUAAAGCUGUUACUUUUUAAAAAAAAAAAAAACCUGUAGAACUUAGUAUGGAUUUAGAUAAGUGAGGUGAGGAAGAAGGUGGUGUCAAGGAUAACGCUAAGCUUUCUGGCUUAUGUAAGUGGAUGGAGAGAGGAUGCACCCAACGAGGUCUGAGGGGGAGGGGCAGAGAAAGGUCUUGAGUUUGAAGUGUCUGAGGCUGCCAGGAGGGCAGGCGCUGACCACAAAGGGCACUGUAGUUAGAAGGCAGUCAUUCAGCUGGUCCAAAAGAUACUCUGUUAGAAAUGUUUUAAGAGUAUCACCUAAUAUAAAUGGAAACAUAAAAUUCUUGUAGAAAACUCAAGGACCUUUGAAAGUAAGUCUACUAGUCCCUACCAAGGUUCUGGGGAAACUGGUUGAAGAAACACAAUGCUGAAUGCACAACUCACUUCCCCACUGAUUGUGGGACACCCACUUCUAAUCCCCAGAGAGUAUAGUCAGCAGGGGGAUGGGAUGAAGGGAUGUUGCAUCUGUGAGAUCACCUUGAAUAAAAAUAGUAAAAAAAAAAAAAAAAAA